RNAcentral lists this non-coding RNA (923 nucleotides) under Pan troglodytes (chimpanzee). The record is from RNAcentral. Lineage: Eukaryota; Metazoa; Chordata; Mammalia; Primates; Hominidae.
AAGAGGUCUGCAGUGAAGGUCCCAAAGUCCCAGACAACUUGAAGAAGCUGAGUGAGAAGGCCAUGCAGAUAUCUUGGAGAAGUGCAUUCCAGGCAGAGGAAAAGCCAGUGCAGAGACACUGAAGCAGGGCAUGACUGAUGUGUAUAAGGAGCAUCAUAUACAUGAUCAUCUACAGUCCACUGAGAAUAGCAGACGAAAGGCCAGGUGCAGUGCAUGUAAUCCCAGCACUUUGGGAGACUGAGAUGGGAAGAUCGCUUGAGGCCAGGAGUGCAAGACCAGCCUGGGCAACACAGCAAGACCUUGACUCUACUAAAAAAAAAAAAGGAUCCUUCAACUUCAACAAUAAUAACACGAGGGAAGUGAAGAAAAACACUUUCUAAGGAAAUCUCUCUCUGAGCUACCAUCCUGCUAGGGAGAGCCUGAAAGCAGAAUGCUGACUUGACUAGCUCUGGUCAAUGAAAGAAAUCACUAGUGGAAAGGCUACCAGGGGGCUUUCUCAAAAGAGAGGGACAGUAAACUGCAAGAUGAACAACUCAAUGCCAUCCAGGUCUGGAUGAGAAAGAACAGUCGAGAGACUGAGUUUCAGGAGUGGAAACACCCAAAGCAUCAUCUUCCACUUUCUUCUCCGGCUGCUAGGAAGAAGGGAAAAACACAGACCUUCUGAGGACCUGUGGAGCAAACCACUGGCUUCAGAAAAGCAAACAGGGACUUCCCUCUGCGCAGCAGGAAGCAGUUAGCCUAGUCGGAGGCUUGACUGAAGAAACAAAUGUAUCCACUGAUAAUGGGCAAGAGCCUGAGGCUCUGGAGCCAAGGGGGAACCCUAAAAAGCUGAUUCAAGUAAGAGAAGCAAGGAUCAUGCAAUUCCACAUGGCCACCUCGAAGCAGGAAUCCGUUAAUGAUAGUAAAGGACUGAUGAAAAUCCA